This 15369-nucleotide long non-coding RNA is filed under the name Salvia miltiorrhiza (redroot sage). Its description in RNAcentral is "long non-coding RNA (SMIL_LNC005230)". Lineage: Eukaryota; Viridiplantae; Streptophyta; Magnoliopsida; Lamiales; Lamiaceae. The record is from RNAcentral.
CCCUAUUUGCAUCUCCACUUCUUUGACAUCAGAUAUCGAGAUUUUCUGCUCUUUAAGAGAGGAAAGUGUCGAGGAAAAGCAGAAAGGCGUAACAGUUAAAUCAUCCGCCACGUGAUAAGUUGGGGAUCCUUUUAGAUAACUUCCCUGCCCAUUGGGAAACUUAACCGAAGAUAACAAGUUCAGAUAAUCAUUGUACUCAGCAGGCAAGCAUUCUUCAGCGAGGGGGAAAAUGCAGUGUGCUGAAAUGUAGCCAUGAGGUAGAAUGGGUGUCAUUAGCCUCUUUUUUCGUAUCCGGGGUAAUGAAAUGCUUGCUAUCUGCAAGGUCGGAUGUGCUCCGGUACAAGUUGUCUAUAGCCUUAACACAAGUGUUACCGGCAAGAAGAUGCUCAACUCCAACCAAUGGGAUGUAGAGGAACUAAACAGAAACUCCACAAACUGUUUAUUUGCUUGAGCAUACGCAACCUUACCAGUAGAUUGUUGUAUCAUCACUUUCAAUCUUAAAUUCCUCGAGUUGUUUGGAUUCUCUUCCUCUGUAGUGUGUGGUUGAGUCACCAUGAAUUUAGAGUAAAUCAGCUGUGUUGUUUUAUUUAGGAUGAUGUCCGACAAUGGAGUUGGGGACGUCAAGGAAGCCUUCAACAAAUUCAUAAUCUAACAAUAACAUGAUAUACACAAAUUAAAUAAAUAACUAGUUAUAACAAAGAUUGAGAUUAGAGAAAACCAAAAAUUACCUCAGUGAAGCCCAAAUCCACCUUGAUUUGCUCGGCGUUAUCCAUGUCUGUAAUGCCAAGAUAGCUAAUGACGCCUAAGAGUCCUGUCUCACUUGGAAAUAUGUGGAGAUCAUCAGAUAUUAAGAAAGAUGAUGUAUUCAUGGUGAAAACUCCAUCUCUAGAUGCAGCAGCUUCAGAUCCUUUCUCAACUACUUCUAUUUUCAUAGCAUCAUUAUAUGAGCAAAAUUUGCACCUCUUGACAUGAUCAUAGAAGAUGCUUACGCUACGAAAUCUAAAAGACUGAGGGUGAUAGAAACAAUAGAAAUAUUCAGCAGGCUGAAAAUCAGUGAUGUCGAGUUUCAGCCUCCCGUAUUCAUCUUCCAAUGAACUUGUUGGAUCAAGCAGAGUCUGCUUAGCUCCAUCAGUCCAGACGUAGGAACUGUCGAGAUUUACUAAGCUACGGUAUAAACUGCUUAAGCUACCAAUGGAAGGCGCCUCGUCUCCAUAGUGCUUCUCGAGGACUUUCACAAUUCUUCCCAAUGGCAAACUCAAGAAGCUUAACAAAAUGUCUGCAAAAUGGCUGUCGGAGUCUGCAAAGAGUACCUUAGUUCUCUCUUUAUUGAUCAUCACUUUCAACGAAAAUGUAGCACCCUUUUUAUCAUCAGUCAUUCUUGAAUUUGAUACAGAAGUCGUCACUGCACUAAUUAGUUUAUAUGUGUAUUGAUCUAAUAGUAGAAUAUAAUUAAUGUUUGAGGUUAAAGGUAUCAAGAUUGCUAUUUGGACAUAAUAUGUUCAUAUAUAAAAUGGUCAAAUAUAUAAAAAUCGAUUAAUUUAAAAAUUUUGGCUCAAAAUAAAAAAGGAUUAAUUUAGUUAAUUAAAAAUAAAGACAGCUACAAUGUGAACAAAAUUUUAAAACUAGCUAAUUUUUUUUUAUUUUUUUAAAUCGAAAAUUUUAUAUUAAUUUUAUUUUGUAUAUAUUCAUUCAUGACCCAAAAAAACCCAUCUUUUCGUCAAAUUCUGUCAUUAUUCAAAACCAAAAUCUAGUUUCCUGAGAGUCCAAUUAAAUCCUUCAUAAAGACUAAAAGAAGCUCGAAUUAAACAUCUCUUACUCGGGUAAUUCUAUCUAUAUCAAAGCCUAUUUUUCAGAAAAAUUAAAAUUUAGUGUAUUUUAUUUCAAAUUUUAAAGAUUGCGAGCAAAAUCAAAAUCCGUCUAAAUUUUAUGUAUUUUGUGGCAAUUUACCCAUAAACAUAGUAGUAAUUAACUAAUUAAUAAACAAUUAAAAAUAGACACAGUGUGAACAAGAGAUGAAUAAGUCAAGAAUUACCUGAUUUCCAAAUUUAUAAAAAUUGGGGAUUUUCAAGAGAAAAAAGACAGAUUUUCAAGUCAACCCAGAAGAAAAUAUGUUGUUGGAUGAGGGUGGCUGAGCUCGCGGCGGAGGAAGAAGAGAGGAGUGGAUAGAUGAGUGAGAGAGAAGCACUGUCAUUAUUUGGCUACUAAAGCAAAAUGGAGCAAACAGUUGAGCUAUGCCAUUGGCGAAUCUUUGCUUUUUCACUUUUUUUUUAAACUUCUUUUUCUGUUUUUCAACUUUUUCUUUUCCAUGUUUUUGGUUUGUCGGUUUCACAAAAAGUACUAUUGCAUGACUUUAUUUGACGCAAUUGUAAUUUAAUACUCCGUGCGCCAAAAUUAGACUACUUUGGUUGAGCACGAAAUUUAAUAAAAUUGGUGAUGAUUUUGAUGUAGUGGAGAAAAUGUCCCACCACUUUAUUAGAUGUGUGGUUGAGAUUGAAUUUGGGCUAGUUUUUUUUGUAAAUAAAAAGUGUUUGUAAGGAUAAAAGAUUAAAGUAGGUAGUAGGACCAUUUCCAUAAAAGGAAAGUGGUAUGCUUUUUGCGGACGCUCAAUAUAAUAAAAAUGGUCUACUUUUGGCGGACGGAGGGAGCAUGUUUGAACAAAAAAGUAGUUAAAUACUUUAACAAAUAUAUUUAUUUAAAACUUUUGAUUAAAAAAAUAGUUAUUUUUAUUAUUUUCUCCAUAUUUUAUUUUAUAAUUUUUAAUAUUUUAUUUAAAAAUUGUUAUUUUUAAAGAGCAUAAAAAUUACAAAUAAAAAGUAAAAAUUAAAAUAGCACCUUAGAUUUCUCUCUAUUGAUCAUCACUUUCAACGAAAACGUAGCAUUCUUGUUCUUGUUUUUCUCAGACAUUUUGGUGGAGGCGAAGAUUUUUCUACAAUUCUAUUUUCUUAUUUGUGAAACAUCAACCUUUCAAGUUCAACCAUAUUAAUAUUCCAUUUUCAGGUGUCUUGAAAUUCGGAAUUUGUUGCUGGUUAAUCAAUUUUAAUUAGGAGUGAAUGCAGAAGGUGUGGCUUUUAGUGGGACUAGUGACUCUUGGUUAACUCCUUCCUCAUAAACAAGGGAGUGAAUGUAGAAAAAAAUCGAAUUAGUAUCUUCAUCUGUUAUUUAGAUCUAAAUCCAAACACAGCCAAAUAUAAAACCUAGUAUUAAAAAAGUGACUUGUUUUACAAAAUUUGAUUUGCCUAUUAUAUCCCUCAUAUAUACUUAGAUUAAGGUUAAUUGUGUAAUUUAAUAUAUUAUACUUAUAAUAUAUCUAUAAAUAUAUUAUGGUUUAUCUUUUAUAUUUUAAUAGCUAUUUAAGUAGUAGUAUCCAUUAGGACUCUUCAUCAUAUAAGUUAUUAUUUUUUUAUUACAUAAUUAUAAUAAUUUAGAAUUAAAAUACAAAGGAUUACUUAAGUAAUAGUAUCCAUUAGAAUUAGUAAAUCGAAAGAUUUCAGCGAGUCCUCUCUUUUAUGGGGGAAGAAGUUAACCGAAGAGUCGUUAAUUAGUCCUCCAAAUUCCAAGACACUCUACAAAUUACAAGAAUCAUUAGAGAAAUUAACCAAGCGCCGCUAGUCCCACCAAAUUCCAAGACAUAAACUUGUUAAAUAGGUUUGAUUUAUUUAAUUUAUUUUUUAAAAUAAAAAUAAUUAUUAUUUUUCCUUAUAUUGUUUAUAUUUUAUUUAUUUUUUGUAAUUUUUUAUUUUUUUAGAAAUAAAAUAGAAAAGUGCAAAAAAAAAGGUACAAUUAAUAUAGACAAUACAAUAAAUUAGUUAAAAGCUAUUUUUAAUUUUAAAAAUAAACUAAAUAAAUCAAAAAAAUUAUCCUAUUGAACUAAUUUGUGAGUGGUCCUGAUGUGAUUGCAUAUAUUUAUUGUUUGGUUGAUUUCCCGGUUUUAUUUACGAUUAAAAAAGUGAAGUAGAAGUAUCUCUUCCAACUAAAUUACCGAUUUUGUGUGUAGGUGGAAUACAAUUUAAAUUUGAAUAAGUUUCAUUUUAAACGUAGGUUAUAGAAAUUUGAUGCAUGCAUGUGAUUUUCUUUAUAGGUGUAUUGAGUGAUGUCACACAAUUCUUUAUUCUUUUGAAUUAUUGAAUGAAUUAUAUGUGACAACAAUUUCAUAAAUAUUAGGAGAUCAAAUGAAUUCUUGCUGCUUAAUUCCAAGUUAGCUGCGGACGUUUAAUUUUGUAUCUCAUAAAGAGAGUGAAUGCAGAGAGUCUCGGAAUUUGGUAGGACUAAUGACUCUUAGGUUAAAGUUGUCGUUGAAAGUGAUGAUAAAUAUAGAGAGAAAUGAGGUACACAAUAUAUAUUUCGAAUUUUUACUCAUCCUACUCCAAUAACAUUUAUGAUAAUUCUUAUUUCAACAAACAAAUAAUAGUUACUCCAUCUCAUAUAUUGUGCAACUUAAAUUUUUUUAUACUCAUAUAGUAUUAAAUAAUUAAUUAAAUUUUAAAUAUAAACCAGUUAGGUGAUAAAAUGCAUCUCAUCUAGCUGCUUAAUUCGAAGCUAGCUACUGCAUGGAGUUUAAUUUGAUUUAGUAUCACAUAAAGAGAGCGAAUGCAGACAGAGACGGAUCUAAAGGCCGGGCAGCCUCGGCGGUCGCCCGGUCAUUUUUUUAUUACCUAUAUAUAUAUAUAUAUAUAUAUAUAUAUAUAUAUUAUUAUUUANNNNNNNNNNNNNNNNNNNNNNNNNNNNNNNNNNNNNNNNNNNNNNNNNNNNNNNNNNNNNNNNNNNNNNNNNNNNNNNNNNNNNNNNNNNNNNNNNNNNNNNNNNNNNNNNNNNNNNNNNNNNNNNNNNNNNNNNNNNNNNNNNNNNNNNNNNNNNNNNNNNNNNNNCACUUUAUAAAUAGCUUUCAACUUCUUUAUUUUUCCAAUGUGGGAUGACACUCCACAUUUCCAUCUUCAAUGGCUAUCUUUGGGCAUUAAUUACUCAUUCAAUUCUUAAUAGAUUUGAACAAGUAAAUAUACCAAAUUAAUCUACUCAAAAUGUAGAUUCCAAAUAUACCAUUUAAUUCCAUUAAUUACAAAGUAAUUAUGGACUAAUAAAAGCCAUUUAUUCCAACAAUAUAUAACAACUAAGAUUUCAAAUGAUACAGGUUACCUCUUUCAGCCCGAUUUGCAUCUCCACUUCUUUGACAUCAGAUAUCGAGAUUUUCUGCUGUUUAAGAGAGGAAAGUGUCGAGGCAAAGAAGAAAGGCGUAACAGUUAAAUCAUCGGCCACGUGAUAAGCUGGCGAUCCUUUAAGAUAACUUCCCCGCCCAUUGGGAAACUUGACAGAAGAAAACAUCGAUAUAUUAUCAUAGUCAGCAGGCAAGGAUUCUUCAGUGAGGGGGAAAAUGUAGUCUUUCGAAAUGUAGCCAUGAGGUAGAAUGGGAGUCAUUAGUCUCUUUUUCGUAUCCGGGGUAAUGAAAUGCUUGCUAUCUGCAAGGUCGGAUGUGUUCCGGUACAAGUUGUCUAUAGCCUUAACACAAGUGCUACCGGCAAGAAGAUGCUCAACUCCUACCAAUGGGAUGUAGAGGAAACUAAACAGAAACUCUACAAACUGUUUAUUAGCUUGAGCAUACGCAACCUUACCAGUAGAUUGUUGUAUCAUCACUUUCAAACUUAAAUUCGUAGAGUUAUUUGGAUUCUCUUCCUCUGUAGUGUGUGGUUGAGACACCAUGAGUGUAGAGUAAAUCAGCUGUGUUGUUUUAUUUAGGAUGAUGUCCGACAAUGGAGUUGGGGACGUCAAGGAUGCCUUCAACAAAUUCAUAAUCUAACUAACAUGAUAUACACAAAUUAAAUAAAUAACUAGUUAUAACAAAGAUUGAGAUUAGAGAAAACCAAAAAUUACCUCAGUGAAGCCCAAAUCCACCUUGAUUUGCUCGGCGUUAUCCAUGUCUGUAAUGCCAAGAUAGCUAAUGACGCCUAAGAGUCCUGUCUCACUUGGAAAUAUGUGGAGAUCAUCAGAGAUUAAGAAAGAUGAUGUAUUCAUGGUGAAAACUCCAUCUCUAGAUGCAGCAGCUUCAGAUCCUUUCUUAACUACUUCUAUUUUCAUAGCAUCAUUAUAUGAAGCAAAAUUUGCACCUCUUAACAUGAUCAUAGUAGAUGCUUACGCUACGAAAUCUAUAAGACUGAGAGUGAUAGUAGGAUAUUUACAAUAGAAAUAUUCAGCAGGCUGAAAAUCAGUGAUGUCGAGUUUCAGCCUCCCGUAUUCAUCUUCGAAUGAACUUGUUGGAUCAAGCAGAGUCUGCUUAGCUCCAUCAGUCCAGAAAUAGGCACUGUCGAGAUUUGCUAAGCUACGGUACAAACUGCUUAAGCUACCAACGGAAGGCGGCUCGUCUCCAUAGUGGUGGUCGAGGAUUUUGACAAUUCUUCCCAACGGCAAAGUCAAGAAGCUUAACAAAAUGUCUGCGAAGUGGCUGUCGGAGUCUGCAAAGAGUACCUUAGUUCUCUCUUUAUUGAUCAUCACUUUCAACGAAAAUGUAGCACCCUUUUUAUCAUCAGCCAUUCUUGAAAUAUAUAUGUGGUACAAACAAAGAAAUAUUUGAACAAUGUAAUCGGAAGAUUUCAGCAAACCCUCCAUUUUUAUGGGGGAAGAAGUUAACCUAAGAGUCGUUAGUUUAGUGCCUCCAAAUUCCAAGAAUCGUUAGAAAAAUUAACCAAGCGCCACUAGUCCCACCAAAUUCCAAGACCCAUCGGAUUGUAUUUGAUUAACUUCCCAAUUUUAAAAAAUAAAAAAAAAAAAUAAAAAAAAUCGAUCUAUUUUAGAUUGGAAAAGUGAAGUAGAAGUACCUCUUCCAACUAAUUAAAUUACCGAUUUAGUGUCAAUAUAGACCACAAUUUAAAUUUAAAUAAGUUUCAUUUUAGAUAUAGGUUUACAAAUUUGAUGCAUGCAUGUGAUAACAAUUUCAUAAUUUUUUUUUUGAAACAAUUUCAUAAAUAUUAGGAGAUCAAAUGCAUCCCAUAUGUAGCUGCUCAAUUCCAAGUUAGCUACUGACGUUUAAUUUGAUUUUGUAUCUCAUAAAGAGAGUGAAUGCAAGGAGUCUUGGAAUUUGGUGGGACUAAUGACUCUUAGGUUAACUUCUUCCCCAUAAAAAGGGAGGGUUUGGUGAAAACUAUCGAUUACAUUAUUAUCUCAAGAAUGUCUGAUGUUGAGAAGGAUGUCAAGUUGUCGUUGAAAGUGAUGAUAAACAAAGAGAGAAAUGAGGUACUCUUUGCAGAAGCCGACAACCAUUUCACAGACAUUUUGUUAAGCUUCUUGAGUUUGCCGUUGGGAAGAAUUUUCAAAGUCUUCAAGAAGCACUAUGGUGAUGAGCUUCCUACCAUUGGAAGCUUAAGCAGUUUGUACCAUAGCUUAACAAAUCUUGAUAGCGCCCAUUUUGUGACGGAGGGUGCUAAGCAGACUCUGCUCAGUCCAACCAGUUUAUUUGAAGAUGAAUACAAAAGGCUGAAACUCGAUAUCACUGAUUCUCCGCCUGCUGAAUAUUUCUAUUGUUCAUCCUGUUACCCUCAUGAUAGAUUUCAUAUUAUAAGCAUGUACUAUGACUCUGUUGAGCGUUGCAAAUGUUACCGUAGUAUGAUGAAAGAAGUAGCUAAAAAAGGGUCUGAAGCAGCUAGUGAUGGAGUGUUUACUAUACGUAAAGCAUCUUUCACAAUCUCUGAUGAUCUUCAAAUAUUUCCAAAUGAGAUUGGACUCCUACCAAUCACCACCCUUCUUGGCAUUACAGAUGCCCAUAAGGCUGAGGAAAUCAAAGUGGAUCUUGGCUUCAAUGAGGUGAUUUCUUGAAUAUUCUCUAAUUAAUCUCAAUCUUUGUUAUAACUAGUUAUUUAUAUUUUGUCAUUUUUGUGUUUAUAUGGUUGUUAGAUUAUGAAUUUGUUGAAGGCUUCCUUGACGUCCCCAACUCCAUUGUCGGACGUAAUCCUGAAUAAAACAACAACACAGAUGAACUCUGCAAAGAUUCCGUUGCAUGAGAUUGUAGAGAAAAAAAACCCCAAUUCUAGGAAUUUAAGUUUGAAAGUCACCAUACAAAAAUCUACAGGUAAGUUUCUGUAUGCUCAAGCUAAGGCAGAUUUUAUGGAGUUUCUAUUUGGUUUCUUCAACAUCCCACUAGGAGGAGUUGGGCAUCUUCUUGCUGGCAAGACUGGUUUCAAGGCUAUAAACAACUUGUAUCGGAGCACAACUGACCUUAUAAACGACAAGUAUUUCAAGACCUCGGAUAUGAAAAGAAGGCUAAUGAAACCCAACUUGUUUCAUGGUUGCACUUCCAAAAACAACAUUCUUGCUCUUGUCGAAGAACCCUUGCCUGAUGACUUCGAUAAAGCUGAAUUUUCUUCAGUCAAGUUUCCCAAAGGGAAGGGUAGGUAUCUUGAAGGAGCAGCAACUUAUAAGGUGACAGAUGACUUAACUGUGACCCCUUUUUGCACUGUCUCCAUUCUUUCUACUCUGAAUAGCUUGAAAAUCCCAAUAAAUGACGUCGAAGAAAGGGAUCUGCAAAUCGGAUUGAAAGAGAUAAUCAUUGAAUCUUUUUAUAAAUGAUUUUUUUUAGCAUAUUUUGAGAUGAAGUUUGUUGGUGCAGGGCUUGAGCAUACUGAAAGCUUCUCUUACAUCCACUUCUGCUCUCACAGAUUCUCUCCUCAGUCAUAAAUCGAGCAAGAAACGGAAGAAAGAACUCGCAGGCUGAUCCUUGGUUGCAACUAUUACAAAUAUUAGCAACUCUAUAUAUGGUGCUUAUAUUUGCUUUUGCUUUUUAUUGUGAUCCUAAUAUUUUCAAGGACCUAUUUUUCAUAUGCAAGUUACUGUUUUUGUUUCUGUGUUGUCCUUAUAUGAGAGAAAGCAUACUCUUGAAAUUACUUCUAAUUUAUUGACAAUAUUGCCUCGCUCACAUGAUCAGACGAAUCCACCCUAAAAAAUAACUACUGAAACUUGAAAAAAUUUACACUAAACUUGCAAAUAAUAAAAAGAUUUUCUUUUUCAUUUCUUGGAAUCGUGCAACAGGCUGAUAUCGAGGAUGAGAUCUAGUGUACCAUAAACGAUGUCUCAUUCCAUGUCUCACUAUUAAAAUGACGUAGUUUUAAUUAUAACUCUAAUAUGUACAUAAUUGAUAUCAUCAUUCUAAAGUAAAGGAAGGAAUUACACAAAAAAUCAUAUGGUUCUUUUGCUUCCCAAUUUGUUCUUCUACUCAAAUCCAAAUCAUUCUGCCGGUAAGGCUUGUGUUAAGGCUAUAGACAACAUGUAUUAGAACACAUGUGAAUAUAUGGAUAACGUAUCUCAUAACCUCGGAUACGAAGAAGAGGAUAAUAAAACCUAAUGUGGUUCAUGGCUGUAUAGAGAGAAACACUUACAUCCCCUUCUGUUCUCACCGAUGAUCUCCUAACUCGCACAUCGAAUAAACAAAUAAUUGGAGAAGUAUGAGUUUGAUCCACACAACAAUUUUGCUGCAUAAUUAUAUAACUAAUAUUGUUUGCUUAUGUUAAUAGCUAUGGUUCUUAAAUUAAACAAUCUUCAUAGUGUAUUAUGAGAGUUAUGCAUCUAUUGAUCUCUUUGAUGAUGCAUUGUUUAAAUCAUUUAAAAAUUCAAUAAAAUACAUUAUUUCAAAUGUUUACUCAUCCUAACCCAAUAACAUGUACGAUAAUUCUUAUUUCAACAAACGAACAAUAGGUACUCCAACUCAUAAAUUCUAAUUAGCAAAAUAUUACUUAUAGAUUUUCGUUUUUGUGACUUCCUAUCAUAUCUGGGCUCGGAUCACAAAGAAGGAUGACAAUGGGCUCAUAUCUACAUUUGGUCUAGAUCCAUUAACUUUGAAAAAAAAAUUAAAUAUAGGUCAAAAUUCAUAAAAUCCACAACUAAUUUAUGUAAUUCGAUUAAUUUAUUUAAAUUGGUUAUUGCAAUUGAAGUUAGCAAAAAUAAAUAAAGGAUAAAUCCUUUCGGAUCAAAUUGAUCCGAAUCAAUGAUAAUAAUAUUGUCAAAAUAUUUAAAUUGAAAAUGUAUCUUACCUUAAAUGCCCUUAAUAAAAAUUUAGAAUUCAAAAUAUUAAAUUUAUUAUUCAUAUACAUAAAUUCAAAUGUUUUUCCAUUUUUCUAGGCCAUUAAUUGAAUUCGUAAAUAUAAAAAUUGUACGUUAGUCUCCUUAAAUUUAUGAACUUAAUUAAAUGAAUUUAUGAUUAUAACAAUUUCGGUUAGUCUAUCAAUAAAAUUAUGAAUCUUCUUCCAAGUCUCCUGAGCUUUAUGCAAAGUAUCACGAUUGCAUCGAACGAAAAUUUAAACGAAUAAUCAACUAAAAAUUAAUUAAAAUGGCGAAUCUUCUUCCAAGUUAGACUCUGGUGGGACGACGUUUGGUUAGUUUCUCUAUCUCGUAAAAAGGUAGUGAUAUCAAUGCGUAGAAUCUUGGAAUUUGGUUGGACUAAUGACUCUUUGGUGGGUUAAUUUCUUGCCUUAAAAAAAAGCGAGGGUUUGCAGACAAAUCUUGAUAGCAAUCUAAGUUUUCAUCUCCAUUACCACAAAUAUUACUAAUUUUCUACACAUUUUAGCAGAAUGUCUGAUGCUAAUAAAGAUGUCAAGUUGUCGUUGAAAGUGAUGAUGAAUAAAGAUAAAACUAAGGUUCUCUUUGCAGAAGCCGACGGCCAUUUUAUAGACAUUUUGUUAAGCUUCUUGACUUUGCCGUUGGGAAGAAUUAUCGAAAUCUUCCACAACCAGUAUGGAGAAAAGGCACCCACCAUUGGAAGCUUAAGCAGUUUGUAUCGUAGCUUAGAAAAUCUCGAUGACGCCCACUUUGUGACGGAGGCUGCUCAGCGGGCUCUGCUCUAUCCAAUCAGUUCAUUUGAAGAUGCAUACAAAAGGCUGAAACUGGACAUCACUGAUUCUCUGCCUGAGAAGUAUUUCUGCUGUUUCUUAGCCUCUCAUGGUAGAUUUCCUAGUUUAAGCAUCUACUAUGAUAAUCUCACUUGCAGAAUCUGUGGCAAUAUGAUGAGAAAAGAAGCAGCUAAAAACCUAUCUAGAGCUUCUUCGAGUGAUGGAGUGUUCACGAAAAGUAAAGCAUCUUUCACAAUCUCCGGUGAUCUGCAAAUAUUUCCAAAUGAAAUUGGGCUCCUACCAUUCAUCACCCUUCUUGGCAUUACAGACGCGCAUGAGGCGGAGGAAAUCCAAGUGUCGUUUGGGUUCGAUGAGGUGAUUCUUGUUUCUUUAAUCUCAAUUUUCCACCUUUUUUUUGGGAUUAAUUGGUUAUAAUCCAGAAAGGGGUUAGUGCCUAGAUUAGAAUCGUAAUUUUAGGAAAAUUUCGAAAAUAAUCCAAGUUGAUCAUGGCUUUGUUAGUUUGUUUACUAAUCUAUACCUAUAAAAUUUGAUUCGUCUAUAAUAUCUGUCAUAUAUAUUUAUUUUAAGGUUAAUUGUGUAUUUUAAUAUUUUUUAUAUAUAAUAAAUCUAAAAAAAUAAGUUAUGAUUUAUAUUUUAAUUAGUAUUUAAGUGGUAGUACCUAUUAGGACUCUUCAUCCACAUAAAUUACUGUUCUUUAUUCUCUAAAGUUAGUAAUUUAGAAUCACAGUAUUACUUAAUACUAGUUUUAUUAGAAGAAUUCUUGGAUUAAAAUUAAUUAUAUAAAGAUGAAACCUAGAAAACAAACAUGAAUUUUAUAUACUUUUAUUUUUGGUUAUGUUUUUUUCUGUGGACGUCCAAAAUUAGUUGGUACUUAAUAAAUUAAAAUUAAAUUUCAUACAAAAUUUAGAUAUUACAUAACUUUUAAAAAAUUAUUGUCAUAAAAGUUACUCCCUCUUUCCACGAAAGAAUUUCCUAUCUUUCCUUGUUGGGAUGUCCACAAAAGAACUUCCUAUUUAUUUUUGGACUAUACCCCACCACUUAUGAUCUUCUUACUUUUCAAUUUUCACAACUCUCAAUAUUAAUUAUAACACUUUUUCACCACUUCUAGUACACUCAACUACCUUUUAUCCACUCUCAAUACACUCAACAAUAUUUUUUCUUAAAAUUCAUGUCACUUCCUCCUAGAAAGUUCUUUUAUGGACGGAGGGAGUGCUAUAUAGUAUUAAAGUAAUUCAUUUUUACGGGCAAACACAAUCAUUUCUGCUAGUAAUCUAUAUAAAUUUGUAGCCGAUUAACCCUUUUUUUUUUAAUGAGAUGUUAGAUUAUGGACUUGUUGAAGGCAUCAUUGACGUCGCCAACUCCAUUGUCGGACCUCAUCCUACGUAAAAAAACAAAGAGUUCAACUGCAGCUAUUUCAAUGCAUGAAAUUGUGAACGAGAUAAACCCCAAGUGUAGGAAUUUAAGUUUGAAAUUGAUGAUACGAAAAUCCACCGGUGAGCUUUUGUACGCUCAAGCUCAGGAAGAUUUCGUAGAGUUUCUAUUUGGUUUGCUCACCAUUCCACUAGGAGGAUUGGAGCAUCUUCAAGCCGGCAAGUCUUGUUUUACGGCGAUAAACAACUUGUAUCGGAGCACGGCUGAACUAGACGACAAGUAUUUCAAGACCUCGGAGACGAAGAAGAGGCUUAUGAAUCCCCAUUUGCCUCAUGGUUGCAUCUCCCCAAACCAGAUUCUUCCCCUCACUGAAGAAUGCUUGCCUGCUGAGUACAUUGAUAAUCUCUCGCUCUUUUCUUCGGUUGCGUUUCCUGAAGGCCAGGGAAGAUAUCUCGAGCGACCAACAACUUAUUUGGUGAGCGAUAAUUUGACUGUGACUCCUUACUUUACUGUUUCUGCUCUUUGCCGUAUGAAUAAGGAGAAGAUUCCGAUAUCUGAUGUUGAAGAAAUGCAGCUGCAAAUUGGAUUGAAAGAGGUAAAUACAACUUUGAUAGCUUUUAAUUGUAUAUAUGUUUAGAUGUUGAGAGCAAAUUUGUUGAUGGGUGCAGGCUUUGAGCAUACUGAAAGCUUCUCUUACAUCCACCACAGCUCUCUCCGAUGCUCUGCUCAAUACUUACCCGUCGCACAAACGACAAAAGAAAUAAUUUUGAUUGCAUCGUUUGAAUGUCCCUUGAUGGAAAAUAAUAAUGAGCUUAUGAAAGCUAGUAUUGUAGACAUAAUUUAUGAGUUUUCAAAGAAGUAUUCUCUUGUGCCAGUUAAUUAAGAUCUUCGAGUCUAAAAUAGACGUCUUAAUUUUGUUAUUUGUUCAUUCAUUAAAAACUCUGAUUUUGCUAAUAUCACUGUGGAUCUAGUUUCCACCAAUUUAUAUUUUAUUCAUAUUUAAUAUAAAUUAAUUUCAAAGCUAUUUCUAAUUAAUAUAAAAAAAAUUUAUUAUUUUAUAAAUAUUGUAUAACAAAAUUAACAAAAUUAGUAAUUAUUUUAGUUUUUACUUUUUAUUUGUAAUUUUUAUGCUUUAAAAAUAAUAAUUUUUAAAAAAAUUAUAAAAAUUACAAAAAUAAUAAUUAGCAACUAUGGUGCUUAUGUUUGCUUUUGUUUUUUCAUAUGAUCCUAGAUAUUCCAGUCACUUAGACCUUUUCUUCAUAUGCAAAUUAUUUGUUUUUUGUUUCUGUAGAAAGCAUAAUCUUGAAAGUUAUACAACUAAAAUCGAACUGUCAAAUGGAAUUACUCCAAUUUAAAAUGUCGAAAUAUUCAUUGACAAUAUAUACUACCUCGCUAACAAAAUCAGAGCAAUCCACAACUAAAAAUAACUACUGAAACUUGAAAUAGUUUACACUAAACUUGCGACGAAUGGAAAAAAAAUAAGAUUUCCUUUUUCAUUUGUUGGAAUCCCACACCAUGUCCAACUAUCAAAACCAUCUGACAUUUAAACAAAAUCAUGUUUAUAUUCCAAAAAUUAUUAUUUCUCACACCCGAAAGAUGACGGGUGAUAUCUGAUGUAGCCUAAAUAUUUGAAAGCUAUAGUGAAUAAAGAGAUGCAACGUGCUACGAUUGUGAGAAUCUUGAAGAAGCACUAUUUGAAUCUCUGAAUAUCUAGUUGUAGUGAUUUCUGGUUAUAUCAUUUUUUGCAUUUUCGUUUUAUGUUUUGUGGUAUAUGCAUAUUAAGAGCAUCCCUUACAUCUGAUUAUGAUUCUGCUUGGCAUUAUCAUAAAAUCUGAGGCACAAAAAAUCUCUCUUUUGUAAGAAGUCAUUAAUUAUUUCAAGUUCCACGGCCGUGAGUUCAAUUUUCAUUUGAUUGGAUAUUUAGUCUGGUUCUUGUAUUGUGAGCAUUCAGUAUGAAAUAGUGAUUAAAUUAUGAAAUUACAUUGUGAAACGAACAAUUUGAACAUACAAAAAGUGAAAUAGUUUUAAAAUGAUGAAUGGAAAAACAAGAACCAUAGUUAAAACAACAUAAAAGCACAAUGCAAAGCUAUGAAUUUAAGCCAACAAUGUCACAUUUAUGAGCAGCAAAACAAGAUCUAAAAGCAUGGAUCACACUCAGACUUCUCUCUUUGGUUGUUUGAUUGAUAUGUGACUCAAUAGAGCAUCAGAAAGAGCAGAAGUGGAUGUAAGAGAGGCUUUCAGUAUGCCCAAAGCCUGCACAAAAGAAGACAAAAUCAACAUGUAAACAUAUGCUCAAUCAUGCACAAAUAAACUCGAAGCAAACGAGAUAGUAUUUGCAUAUAGAAAAAAGAUUCAAACGAAUGGAAAAUCAAGAUACAUAACUUAAAAUAACAAUGAAGCACACAAUAACUAUUAAUAUAACAUAUAAGCCAAUAUUUGCAACAUAAAUAGGAAGAAUGGAUAUCACACUUCUCUCUUUGGCUGUUUGAUUGAUUUGCCACUCAGAAGAGCAUCAGUGAGAGCAGUAGUAGAAGCAAGAGAGGCUUUCAGUAUGCUGCAAGCCUGCACCAACACAUUUUAUCUCAACAUCUAAACAUAACUAAAUAUAACAACCAAGAUUUUAAAUGAAAGUUUACCUCUUUCAGCCCUAUUUGCAUCUCCACUUCUUUGACAUCAGAUAUCGAGAUUUUCUGCUGUUUAAGAGAUGAAAGUGAUGAGGCGAUGCAAAAAGGUGUAACGGUUAAAUCAUCAGCCACGUGAUAAGUUGGAGAUCCUUUAUGAUAACUUCCCUUCCCAUUGGGAAACUUAACAGAAGAAAAAUGGCUUCUAUCAUUGUAGUCAGCAGGCAAUCUUUCUUCAAUGAGAGGGAAAAUGUGGUCUUUCGAAAUAUAGCCAUGAGGUAGAAUGGGAGUCAUUAGCCUCUUUUUCGUAUCCGGGGUAAUGAAAUGCUUGCUAUCUAUAAGGUUGGAUGUGUUCCCGUACAAGUUGUCUAUAGCCUUAACACAGGUGUUACCGGCAAGAAGAUGCUCAACUCCUCCCAGUGGGAUGUAGAGGAAACUAAACAGAAACUCUACAAACUGUUUCUUAGCUUGAGCAUACAAAAACUUACCAGUAGAUUGUUGUAUCAUCACUUUCAAACUUAAAUUCCUAGAGUUAUUGGGAUUCUCUUCCUUUCGCA